UCUAAACUCGGUUCAGAGUGAUGCCGCC
This 28-nucleotide non-coding RNA is filed under the name Mus musculus (house mouse). Lineage: Eukaryota; Metazoa; Chordata; Mammalia; Rodentia; Muridae. The record is from RNAcentral.